ACGGCGAGUGAAGCGGGAAGAGCUCAAAUUUGUAAUCUGGCACUUUCAGUGUCCGAGUUGUAAUCUCGAGAAGUGUUUUCCGCGCCGGACCGCAUACAAGUCUGUUGGAAUACAGCGUCAUAGUGGUGAGAGCCCCGUAACUGAUGCGGAUGCCCGGUGCUUUGUGAUACACUUUCGAAGAGUCGAGUUGUUUGGGAAUGCAGCUCAAAUUGGGUGGUAAAUUCCAUCUAAAGCUAAAUAUUGGCGAGAGACCGAUAGCGAACAAGUACCGUGAGGGAAAGAUGAAAAGCACUUUGGAAAGAGAGUUAACAGUACGUGAAAUUGUUGGAAGGGAAACGAUUGAAGUCAGACUUGCUAUUCGGAGUUCAGCCGCAAGGUGUACUCUUCGAUUCGCAGGCCAGCAUCAGUUUUCGGGGGUGGAAAAUCGUGGUUUGAAGGUAGCAGUCUAGGCUGUGUUAUAGCUUUCCACUGGA
This 473-nucleotide ribosomal RNA is filed under the name Leucosporidium sp. RNAcentral's name for it is "partial large subunit ribosomal RNA". It matches the Rfam family "Eukaryotic large subunit ribosomal RNA", at positions 86 to 571 of the family's 3401-position model. The record is from RNAcentral. Lineage: Eukaryota; Fungi; Basidiomycota; Microbotryomycetes; Leucosporidiales; Leucosporidiaceae.